Long non-coding RNA from Manacus vitellinus (golden-collared manakin), 1712 nucleotides. Lineage: Eukaryota; Metazoa; Chordata; Aves; Passeriformes; Pipridae. The record is from Ensembl.
CACAGAGAGUGACACCGGCACAGAGCGACACCGGCACAGAGUGUGACACCGGGCAGAGUGUGACACUGACACAGCGAGUGACACCGGCACAGAGCGACACCGGCACAGAGAGUGACACUGACACAGAGUGUGACACUGGGCAGAGUGUGACACUGACACAGAGAGUGACAUCAGCACGGAGUGACACCGGCACAGAGCGUGACACCGGGCAGAGUGUGACACCAGCACAGAGUGACACCAGGCAGAGCGUGACACUGACACAGAGCUCUGGCACAGGGGGAAGCGCUGGCACAGCACCCUGGCACCGGGCAGAGCGAGGCUGGCACAGCGCAGGGCACGGCACAGCACGGAGCACCAGCACGGGGCAGAGCCAGACUGCCCUGGCACAGCAGGCACAGCACCAGCACAGAACACUGGCACGGCACGGAACGGUGGCACAGCACGGAGCGGGAUGGCAGAGCCAGAGUGCCCUGGCACGAGGGAGCAGCAGCAGCACAGCACACUGGCACAGCACACUGGCACAGCACAGAACGCUGGCACAGCACAGAAUGCUGGCACAGCACACAGCAGGAUGCCAGAUUCCCCUGGCACAGCAGAAGUAGUAGAAGCAGCACCAGCACAGAGCUCUGGCACAGCACAGAACACUGGCACAGAGCUCUGGCAUGGCACAGAACACUGGCACAGAGCUCUGGCACAGCACUGAGCUCUGGCACAGCACAGAACACCAGCCCAGAGCUCUGGCACAGCACAGAACACUGGCACAGAGCUCUGGCACAGCACAGAACACCAGCCCAGAGCUCUGGCAUGGCACAGAACACUGGCACGGAGCUCUGGCACAGCACUGAGCUCUGGCACAGCACAGAACACCAGCCCAGAGCUCUGGCAUGGCACAGAACGCUGGCACAGAGCUCUGGCAUGGCACAGAACACCAGCACAGAGCUCUGGCACAGCACAGAACACCAGCACAGAGCUCUGGCAUGGCACAGAACACUGGCACGGAGCUCUGGCACAGAGCUCUGGCACAGCACUGAGCUCUGGCACAGCACAGAACACCAGCACAGAGCUCUGGCACAGCACAGAACACCAGCACAGAACACUGGCACAGGGCGCUGGCACAGAGCUCUGGCACAGCCAGCACACAGCAGCGUGCCAGAGCCAGUUUCCCUUGGCACAGUGGGAGCAGCAGCAGCAGCAGCAGCGCUGGCACGGCGCAGUGGCACAGGGCAGGGUGGCACAGCCGCUGUCCCCCGGCACAGGACGGGCAGGGGGAGCAGCACCAGCACGGGACAGCAGCACGGGACGCUGGCACCACACCCAGCACGGUGCCAGAGCUGGCUUUCCCUGGCACAGAGGGAGCAGCACCAGCACAGAACGCUGGCACGGAGCAGAGCACACGCCAGAGAGAGUUUUCCCCUGGCACAGCAGGAGCAGAUGAGCAGCAGUGGCACGGAACACUGGCACAGAGCAGGAGGCCAGAGCCGGUUUCCCCUGGCACAGCAGGAGCAGCACCAGCACAGCAGGAGCAGAUGAGCAGCACCGGCACAGAACACUGGCACAGAGCAGGAGGCCAGAGCCAGCUUUCCCUGGCACAGCAGGAGCAGCACCAGCAUGGCACAGAGCAGCAGGAACAGCACCAGCACGGAGCAGGAGGCCAGAGCUGGAUUCCUCCGGCACAGCAGGAGCAGCAGGAGCAGGAUUCCAGAGUUGGAUUU